AACGAACGCUGGCGGCAGGCUUAACACAUGCAAGUCGAACGCCCCGCAAGGGGAGUGGCAGACGGGUGAGUAACGCGUGGGAACAUACCCUUUUCUACGGAAUAGCUCUGGGAAACUGGAAUUAAUACCGUAUACGCCCUACGGGGGAAAGAUUUAUCGGGGAAGGAUUGGCCCGCGUUGGAUUAGCUAGUUGGUGGGGUAAAGGCCUACCAAGGCGACGAUCCAUAGCUGGUCUGAGAGGAUGAUCAGCCACAUUGGGACUGAGACACGGCCCAAACUCCUACGGGAGGCAGCUGUGGGGAAUAUUGGACAAUGGGCGCAAGCCUGAUCCAGCCAUGCCGCGUGAGUGAUGAAGGCCUUAGGGUUGUAAAGCUCUUUCACCGAUGAAGAUAAUGACGGUAGUCGGAGAAGAAGCCCCGGCUAACUUCGUG
This 431-nucleotide ribosomal RNA is filed under the name uncultured bacterium. Its description in RNAcentral is "partial 16S ribosomal RNA". It matches the Rfam family "Bacterial small subunit ribosomal RNA", at positions 29 to 507 of the family's 1533-position model. The record is from RNAcentral.